This 1926-nucleotide unclassified non-coding RNA is filed under the name Hevea brasiliensis (rubber tree). The record is from RNAcentral. Lineage: Eukaryota; Viridiplantae; Streptophyta; Magnoliopsida; Malpighiales; Euphorbiaceae.
GGAUUCUGGGAUGAUGUGGAGGAAUACUUUCGUGUCUUAACUGUGGAAGAUAUUGAUAGAUGGUAUAAACUUCGGUCUUUUGAGUUUUUGGGUAAUGAUCAGAAAUUAUUGUACAUUCCUACGUUUGAGAAUGUGGGCAGUGCAGUGAAUGAUAGUGGGGUGACGGCUAAAGAAGAGAAGGAGAAUGAGCAAUUUAUGGACGUCGACAGUGAAGGAGGAAAGAAAAUUGAAUUGUUUAAAGAAGAAAAUGAUGGAAAUGUGAAGCCCUGUUCGUCCCCCUCUUUGCCUUUCAGUGGGUUGGAAUGGCUAUUAGGUUCUAGGAAUAAGAUAUAUAUUGCCUCUGAACGACCUUCAAAGAAAAGGAAGCUUUUGGGUGGAGAUGCAGGAUUGGAGAAGCUUCUAGUUGCUCGCCCUGUAGAAGGGUCAGAUUCAUUUUGUCACUAUUGUAGUUUAGGUGACCAUGGUGAUGUGCUGAACAGACUGAUUGUUUGUAGUUCUUGUAGUAUCACUGUUCAUCAGAGAUGCUAUGGUGUGCAGGACGAUGUUGAUGGCACUUGGUUGUGUUCUUGGUGCAAGCAAAAUAAUGAGGCGGUAAGUAUUGACAAGCCAUGCGUUCUUUGCCCAAAAAGCGGUGGUGCUCUGAAACCUUGUAGGAAAAGAGGUCUGGGAAGUGAAGAAUCUUCUGGACUGGAGUUUGUUCACUUGUUUUGUUGUCAGUGGAUGCCUGAGGUAUUUGUUGAGAAUACUAGGAUCAUGGAACCGAUAUUGAAUGUUGAUGGCAUAAAGGAUACACGGAAGAAGUUAAUUUGUUAUCUGUGCAAGGUGAAACAUGGGGCGUGUGUUCGGUGCAGUAAUGGAGCUUGUAGGACAUCUUUCCAUCCUAUAUGUGCCAGGGAAGCAAGCCACAGAAUGGAGAUAUGGGGCAAACUUGGAUGUGAUGAUGUUGAAUUACGUGCAUUCUGCUCGAAGCAUUCAGAUUUCCAGAUCAGCAGUAGCAGUCAACAAGGUAAAGGAUCUGCAGUAGACGUUUCUUGCUCCACAGAUAACAAUCAGUUGGCUGGGUCAGUCACAGCCAAAUCACACAAGUUAAAGCUUGGCUUAAGAAAUGGAGACAAAAUGGUGUUGCACACGGACAGUUCCAGUUCAGGUUUAGAUAAGUUGAAUGAUGAUGGAUUACAACAGGAAGGGCUGCUGGAGAAGGGCUUGAAUCUUAGACACCAAACAGAAUACGGUGUUCCACAGCAGCCUAUUAAUAGGGACUUGUGUGAAAAUAAAGAUGGUGAUGUGGCUGAUCCUGUAGAUUUCACCAUGAUAUUGAAAAAGUUAAUACAGCAGAAAAAGGUUGAUGUAAAAGAUGUUGCUGUGGAGAUUGGUGUACCUUCAGAUUUGUUGGCCUCGAUGCUUAAUGAUGGUAAAAUGGUUCCUGACAUACGGUCCAAGGUAGCUAAGUGGUUGAAGAAUCAUGCUUAUAUUGGAAGUUUACACAGAACUUUAAAAGUCAAAAUUAAAUCCACAAAAGCCCCAAAAGUUGGGGCCGGUGUAGUGGAUGAUUUGGAUUCCAUUAAAGUAACCGAACCCGAGAUUACGGACUCUGUACCCGUGAAAUCUGUACCACCUCGAAGAAGAACCAAAAACAAUGUCAGGGUUGUGAAAGAUGGUGAAUCACUUUAUUCAUCUAAGGAGACGGUACACAUUGAUGGAGUAGCGGCAGAUGAUGCUAAAACUAGUGUGGAUGGAAGGGAAGAUUCAAGUUGUCCAAGAGAGCUUCUGUCUGCUGGCGUACAAAAGGUUAUGCUCGCGACUAUUCCCUCAAAAGCAACUCUAGCAGGCGAUCCCAAUGUUGAUGAAGUGCCAAUCCAUUGCCUUGACAAUGGUCAAGUGGAGCAGGGUGCUUUAUCUGAUCAGAAUCUUGCGACAGUUGCUGAU